RNAcentral lists this ribosomal RNA (170 nucleotides) under Enterobacter cloacae subsp. cloacae GS1. Its description in RNAcentral is "partial 16S ribosomal RNA". It matches the Rfam family "Bacterial small subunit ribosomal RNA", at positions 1 to 163 of the family's 1533-position model. The record is from RNAcentral. Lineage: Bacteria; Pseudomonadati; Pseudomonadota; Gammaproteobacteria; Enterobacterales; Enterobacteriaceae.
AAAUUGAAGAGUUUGAUCAUGGCUCAGAUUGAACGCUGGCGGCAGGCCUAACACAUGCAAGUCGAACGGUAACAGGAAGCAGCUUGCUGCUUUGCUGACGAGUGGCGGACGGGUGAGUAAUGUCUGGGAAACUGCCUGAUGGAGGGGGAUAACGUACUGGAAACGGUAGC